UGAGUCCAGCCAAGACUAUGAACAGAAUCUGCCUGUUUAGAGGUGGAAUUUACUCACCUGAAUCAGAAGGGGAUGGCAUGGGACAGGAAAAAAUAAGGUUCUGGCUUCUAAUGAGAAACAGCCGUGUGUGGAAUAAAAUUAGUAAUUCGACUUGCUUGCCAGCUUCCUCCAGAGCCUAAGAUCAUCCCUCCUCGUCUCUAAACAAUAUGCCAAUCACCAAGAUGGAAGUGAGGGGCUGCACGGUCCCGACUGCACCAAACAUAACCCAGGCCCUGCGCAGAAGACACGCAAGGAGCCCAG
RNAcentral lists this long non-coding RNA (300 nucleotides) under Chinchilla lanigera (long-tailed chinchilla). RNAcentral describes it as "lncRNA (ENSCLAG00000022235.1)". The record is from RNAcentral. Lineage: Eukaryota; Metazoa; Chordata; Mammalia; Rodentia; Chinchillidae.